UACGGAGGGGGCUAGCGUUGUUCGGAAUUACUGGGCGUAAAGCGCACGUAGGCGGCUUUGUAAGUUAGAGGUGAAAGCCCGGGGCUCAACUCCGGAACUGCCUUUAAGACUGCAUCGCUUGAAUCAUGGAGAGGUCAGUGGAAUUCCGAGUGUAGAGGUGAAAUUCGUAGAUAUUCGGAAGAACACCAGUGGCGAAGGCGGCUGACUGGACAUGUAUUGACGCUGAGGUGCGAAAGCGUGGGGAGCAAACAGG
This 253-nucleotide ribosomal RNA is filed under the name uncultured bacterium. RNAcentral's name for it is "partial 16S ribosomal RNA". It matches the Rfam family "Bacterial small subunit ribosomal RNA", at positions 524 to 776 of the family's 1533-position model. The record is from RNAcentral.